Molecule: transfer RNA, 88 nt
Filed under: Okeania sp. SIO2H7
Lineage: Bacteria; Bacillati; Cyanobacteriota; Cyanophyceae; Oscillatoriales; Microcoleaceae
Also listed under: 1 other name
Description: tRNA-Ser
Rfam family: tRNA
About the family: Transfer RNA (tRNA) molecules are approximately 80 nucleotides in length.
Source: RNAcentral
GGAGAGGUGGCAGAGUUGGUCGAAUGCGGCAGACUCGAAAUCUGUUAAAGUGUCAAAGCUUUCGUGGGUUCGAAUCCCACCCUCUCCG